Molecule: ribosomal RNA, 497 nt
Filed under: uncultured bacterium
Lineage: Bacteria
Description: partial 16S ribosomal RNA
Rfam family: Bacterial small subunit ribosomal RNA
Source: RNAcentral
GAUGAACGCUGGCGGCGUGCCUAAUACAUGCAAGUCGAGCGAACAGACGAGGAGCUUGCUCCUCUGACGUUAGCGGCGGACGGGUGAGUAACACGUGGAUAACCUACCUAUAAGACUGGGAUAACUUCGGGAAACCGGAGCUAAUACCGGAUAAUAUAUUGAACCGCAUGGUUCAAUAGUGAAAGACGGUUUUGCUGUCACUUAUAGCUGGAUCCGCGCCGCAUUAGCUAGUUGGUAAGGUAACGGCUUACCAAGGCAACGAUGCGUAGCCGACCUGAGAGGGUGAUCGGCCACACUGGAGCUGAGACACGGUCCAGACUCCUACGGGAGGCAGCAGUAGGGAAUCUUCCGCAAUGGGCGAAAGCCUGACGGAGCAACGCCGCGUGAGUGAUGAAGGUCUUCGGAUCGUAAAACUCUGUUAUUAGGGAAGAACAAAUGUGUAAGUAACUAUGCACGUCUUGACGGUACCGAAUCAGAAAGCCACGGCUAACUACGUG